AGAGCGCGUUGGGCUCUGGAAAGUCUCCAUAAUAAAAUCCAAAGCUUAGAAAAACGCAAGAAACAGAUCAAUUAUUAUUAUUUUAAUUUCAAAGUUGGACAAAGGAUACAUUGAAUAGGGGGGUUACCUCACAAACCUGUAUUUCCCCGCCUCUGGUUUCUUAGCAGGAUGGGAGAGUUGAGAGGACCUGCAGGGACUUCUUGAGCCCUGCCUAGGAUGCGGGCCUGAUUCCAGCCCUCGGGCUCCAGGAGCUGUUUCUCGUCUUCCAUGCCUUUCUGCCAUGCUGCCCUGCCUUGGAGCCAGACGACUAUGAACUUAAGCCUCUACAAACUCUUCCUGUCUCACAGUGGAAUCUCCUGUUCCUGCACACUAUUGCUAUUGUGAUGCCAUCCAUCCUGUGGGCCUUGCCAGGGCAAGCUGAAGACAGUGCCAUGACCUUGAAACUCCAGAAUUAGCCCAAUUCAGUACAAUGUCACAUGAAAAUCCACUUUUACAACUUUGGGAGGAGGUUGAAAGUGAGCCAUCAGAUGACUCAGUUACCAAUGAUGAAUUGGUUCAUGUAAGCCAAAGAAG
This 573-nucleotide long non-coding RNA is filed under the name Heterocephalus glaber (naked mole-rat). Its description in RNAcentral is "lncRNA (ENSHGLG00000039760.1)". Lineage: Eukaryota; Metazoa; Chordata; Mammalia; Rodentia; Bathyergidae. The record is from RNAcentral.